GACGAACGCUGGCGGCGUGCUUAACACAUGCAAGUCGAACGGAAAGGCCCUGCUUUUGUGGGGUGCUCGAGUGGCGAACGGGUGAGUAACACGUGAGUAACCUGCCCUUGACUUUGGGAUAACUUCAGGAAACUGGGGCUAAUACCGGAUAGGAGCUCCUGCUGCAUGGUGGGGGUUGGAAAGUUUCGGCGGUUGGGGAUGGACUCGCGGCUUAUCAGCUUGUUGGUGGGGUAGUGGCUUACCAAGGCUUUGACGGGUAGCCGGCCUGGGAGGGUGACCGGCCACCUUGGGACUGCGAUACGGCCCAGACUCCUACGGGAGGCAGCAGUGGGGAAUAUUGCCCAGUGGGCGGGAGCCUGAUGCAGCAACGCCGCGUGCGGGAUGACGGCCUUCGGGUUGUAAACCGCUUUCGCCUGUGACGACGCGUGAGUGACGGUAAUGGGUAAAGAAGCACCGGCUAACUACGUG
RNAcentral lists this ribosomal RNA (468 nucleotides) under uncultured bacterium. RNAcentral describes it as "partial 16S ribosomal RNA". It matches the Rfam family "Bacterial small subunit ribosomal RNA", at positions 28 to 507 of the family's 1533-position model. The record is from RNAcentral.